This 17735-nucleotide long non-coding RNA is filed under the name Sorghum bicolor (sorghum). Its description in RNAcentral is "long non-coding RNA (SBIC_LNC003085)". The record is from RNAcentral. Lineage: Eukaryota; Viridiplantae; Streptophyta; Magnoliopsida; Poales; Poaceae.
UCUCCCUAUUUUCUAGAUUACAACUAGAACUAACUAGAACUAGAACUGGAGGAACUAGAACUAGAACUAGAUGAACUAGAACUAGAUCUAGAUGAACUAGAGGUAGAACUAGAAGAACUAGAGGGAUCCUCUCUACUUGGAUGAAGAAUUGAAACCCUAGCUUUGAUUCUGCAGAAGAGGUAUGAUCUCCAGGGGCCAGGGGGUCUGGUUUUAUAGUCCCUUCAAGUGAAUCUGGGUCGUCGGAUCAAACCGACAUUGAUCGUGUGGUUCUCCUUGAUCCUUUAGGUCGGUGGAGCAUAAUCCGCGAAACGUGUCCUGAUUGGGCAAUGUAGCUGGGCGGGUGCCUUGCCUCCGAGCCCGAUUUCCUUCCCGUUCGUUCCCGUGGCUUCUGGAUUCUUCUAGAUGAUAGAAAAUUGCGCGACACGUUAAUAUCUCUAUGUAAACCUGACGUGUGGGCCUUUCUUCCAUAUUUCCUGAUAACCCCCUGCAGAAAUAGAUAAACAACAAAACUCGUGGAAUUCUGUCAGAUAAAACCCUAAGUCUAGGUGUUGGUUGCAUUGUUGACGGUUCUUAAGUAUCAAUUUUAAUUAUCAAAUAAACAUGAGAAAGGACCAAUAUGCAACCAUUACCUAGAAUUAGGGUUUGAUCUGACAGAAUUCCACGAGUUUUGUUGUUUAUCUAUUUCUGCAGGGUGUUAUCAGGAAAUAAGGAAGAAAGGCCCACAUGUCGGGAUUACAUAGAGAUAUCAACGCACCGCGUAAUUUUACAUCAUCUAGAAGACUCCAGAAGCCACGAGACCGAAGCGGAAGCGAAGCUGGGCCAGGCCUAGGGCGCCCGCCCUGGUAGCCUGGGCGCCCGCCCCCCUGUUGGAGCCAAUUCAGGACUCCUUUGCUCGGGAUAUUCCACCGACCUAUUGGAUCAAGAAAAACAUAGUACCACCUCGCCUAUCGACCCAAAAAUGCAUAGAAGGGGAGGACUAUAUAAGCAAGGCCCCCCUGGCCCCUGGAAGACAUGAAGAAAUUAUCAUAGAGACUGAGGGGUGCCCUCGAAGGAAAACCUCUUCUCUAAUUAAUAUUUCUUUUUAGGCUUAGCAAUCAAUGUAAGGUAGAAAUAGAUCUUCUAGUUUCUACUAGAUUGAGAGAGAUAGAGUGGAGGUGUAGAGUGGAGGAAGCCCGGCCUGUCGGUUUUCUACUCCAAGCUUGUACCUGCGGGAUCAAGUUCUCCUAACCCGAAGCUUGCUCCUAGGAUUCUUCAGUAAUUCGACUUCUAAAUUCUAGUAAGUUCUUGUUUUAUUGUUCUUAUGGUUUAUGAGUUUACUUUAAUCUCUUCGCGUAGAGUUUAGAGUAAUCAUUGCGGGCGUAAACGUGGUGUUUAGGCUGGGGUACUCAUAGAUAUUCCCUGACUAGCUGGACCGUGGUAGUAGUGAGGAACGUGACAUUUCCGAGCUACCUUUGUAGAUCACAUCUCGUUAGCAGGAAGGAUAGGGUUUAUAGGUGCGGGUUGAACAUCCUUUGUGGUGUCUAGAUUCCGUUAGCCUCCCCAUUAGAAUAGUAGAUCAUCCUUACCAAGGUUAGAAGGAGACUACGGUUGCAGUCUUCUCUAUUUAUCACUCACAUCGAAAGACAUUCUUUGUGCCUAAAGGGAUAGUAGUAAUAGAUUUGGUUAGUCAGAUGCACCCUUUCUCCCAGUGGUAAAAAUAUAAAUACGAUACUCUGGAAAACCUCCCGGGUGAAAUGCUCACCGAUAUCCGUGCGCUUGCGGAUCAUUUCCUUAUUGCGUUACCAAAUAUCAACAAGCAUUUCUGGCGCCGUUGCCGGGGAGAAAGACGGUUUGCUGAGAUAACUUUGAGUCUUGCUAUUAUCUUGUAUUAUACUUUUAUACUUUUAUUCUUUUAUCUAUUUAUCUUUAUGGAUAUCUCAAAUUCCAUAACUAUUAUUAAAUUCUUUGCACCUUCGGAGACCAGCCAUAGACCAUGGGAGUCAACACGUCCUGCCCCUAAUUAUGAUCUGUGUCCGGAGUUGAUUGCAAUAGGUCAAAACCAACCCUUUUCUAUAGCUGAGGUCCUAUCUUUUAAUCAAAAAGAUAACGCACUUUUAGCUACACCUAGGGAAUCUUUUAAUUUUUCUAUAAAUUCUGGUAUAGACCUAUCCCUACAAGACCAUGUUUUUCCUAGAUAUUUUCACAUUGGUCUUAAUCAUAUAACCUUUGGUAGAGUCUUUCUUUCUUUAUCUAUUAGUAAAGGAAGGUAUGUCUUCAUUUGUAGACAUCCUUCUUGUACUAGUCUUCAUAGAAAAAUCAUAGAGAUAGAGAAGGAAUCAUCUCCCAUACAAGGAGAGGAAGUUUCAAUAGGCGAUUUCCAAACUUUCCAAUCCCAUGAUUCGGCUAUCCAACCCAUCCUUGAGCCUAAUAAUCUCUACUAUGCUCUUUCUCUUGAACCUCCCGAUAAUCCUAUGAAUCUCUCUAGACAUCCCAUGCAUAAGAAGGAGGAUCGAGGAGAGCAACAUCAAUGGCUAGAGGGCAUUAAAAAUUCAUGUGCUAUCACCACAUUUGAGAUCUCUAACCCUCUCUUCUUUUCUAUUUAUAAAAACUUUAAAAGAGCGGUUGUCGAUGCAUAUGUUUAUAAUAAAUAUUGCGGAUCUCGUCGAGUUAAUUGAUGGUUUCCCAAGGACAAGCUUAGUGUCCUAAAACAAGCACUUAUCAGAUUGUAACAUGAACUUCUAAUUACUUGCAACAUUACCUUGUGUAUUGAGCAUAUAAGAUAAUUGUAGAAAUAUUCCUUCGGGUAUUCUUGUCACUAACCUUUCUAGGAUUGGAGCAAGAAGACCGGAUGAAUGACAAGCGCAAGGUAUGCCCAACAAAUCAACAUGCAACAUUGAAUUAAAUUCAUCCAAUCUUGAAUUUUGCAAAAUUCAAGCUUAGGGGAGUACUUCACAUAAAACAUCCUUUGCCAUGUUGCUAUGUUGGUUGUCCUUACCUUUGAGACAUGCUCAAUUUGUUAAAUACUAAUCACACUACUUCAUCUCCACUUAAGUAGAUCUCUAUAAAUGCCAUCACGCUACCUUUGUUUAUCCUAGUAAGUGUUAGUUUGGAAGUACUGCACAUACUUCUAUUGGCUUUUAAAUUAAGCAUGGUGCUUAGGUUAAACAGCCUUCCUUAAUCUGAUUAGACAUGAAGUCUAGUUCGGUUAUCGAACUAAAAAUUGCUUGUGUAGACAUUGGUAUAUUUUGUGGGACUAACCCCUGCAGGAAAACUUUCAAUAUCAACCUGGGAAGUCCUAAGAUAAACUCACAUUGGAGAUAAAGAAAGUGACACAUGAAGUUUAACAAUUUGCACAAGAAAGACGUAGCUCAUAAGAGAUGAUCCAUGGAGGGAGCCACAAACUCGAUGCACAACCGCUAGAAAGGAAAGCUUCUACAAGGUGAUACUGUACCAUCACCCUUCAAAGGUAACAUCUUAAGGUACUUGACUAUCCUUUUAUAAGUUUCUCCUUGGUUCUGGCGUUCACAUAAAUAAAGAGACAAACAUGUAUGAUUUAUAACUCUAAAUUAACCAACCUAACUGAUUCAACAUGUUUAGUCCCUUAAUCUUUGUUCUUAGUACUACCUUCGUAAUCCCACGCUUCUAAACAUAUAAGCUAAUAUGUUGCACAUUCAAUCUUUCGAAGAUAAAAACAAAACAUAAAUAUAGAUAGAUUAUCUUUCCAUUAGGUUGAGCCAUCUGAUCUAACAAAUGUUUUAAAUGCUACACUCAUGAUCCAUCAACUUUGUCUUGCUCACUAUGCUUAAGGUUAGAAAAGAACAAAUACACUUUUGGUUCUGUUGGUGUUUUCCACCAACAGAGCCCAUGCACUUGAUCUCUACCUUGUCUCUAUGAGCAGGACACAUUUUGAGAAACGUGAAGGCGUUUUACAACUCCCAGAUUCCAUUAAGUGAAGAACCGGGAUCUACGAGCACAAACACAAUGGAGAUCAGACACUUAGUUUCCCAAAGGAAAUAUUAAAGAACCUCUGUGUCCAAGUUGGUACCUUGUACGCUCCAGCAAACUUCGUGGUGGUAGAGACUGGUACUGAGGAGAGGGCACCCAUCAUCUUAGGGAGGCCAUUCCUAAACACCAGAGCUGUCAUCUACGCUAAUGCUGCCAAGAUCAGUCUCUACAUCAAGGGGAAGAAGGAGACUUUUCUUCAAGAACAAGACUACAUAAACUUCAGAGCAAUCCCGACAUGAACCAAGGAAGAGAACAGGAACAAGCAAAUGUGGACCGAGUCAGCUAAGAUGGUCACUGCAGCUCAAGGAGGUCAAGAUCGUCGACUCAAGUCACCUUUCUUGAUCAAGAAGGACGACCCUGUUGUUCCAAUCAUCGAGUGCACAACCAAUAGAUACUCUUUUUAGAAAACACUCUAUGACACCGGAUCUAACGUCAACAUAAUGGCCGCAGUCACUUAUCAGCUCCUGCAUGGAACCAUGCCCCUACAACCAAUAUAUAUUUAGCUCCAGAUAAUUUUUAGAACAAUGAUAUGGGAGAAGACGAGUACGAUCCACCCAUCAUCUUACGAAGACCAUUCCUCAACACUAUCCAAGUUAUCAUCUACAUUGGAACUGGAGAAGUCCACGUGUAUUUCCCCUCUGAGAAGGUACGCCAUUACUUUAAUGAUUCUAACUAUAUAGUUGAAGAUUCUAAGCAGGUCAGGACAAGAAGAAGACGACGCAACCGCAACCAGAGGAGGCAAAUCAUCAGGGACGGAUGGCAGACUACGAAGGAAAAGUUGUAAGGUCAGAAGACGUUGAGUUUAAACAGAAUUAUCCAGAGGAGACCGAAGCACCAAGUCAGGUGUGGAAAAGGAAGAUAACUAUACAUGAAGAGGAGGCGCUACCGGAAGUACCGACUACGCCACCCAACGAACCUCAGGAUAAUUGAGAAGGAGGAGAGUCCCGUUCGGAGGACUUAAAAACACCGAACGCCUUGCCAAGAGGUAAACUUGGUAGUUAUCGUUUCCCUUUCAAUUAUUUCAAGUAGUUCCCUUAGUUAAUUAAGUUCUAAACAGAAAGUAAAAAUGUGAAAAACAGUAAGCCCCAUGUGAGGAUACGAGUGGCAUAAAACCCAUAAGUACAUUCACUAUGGUGGCAUAAAAAUAAAAUAAAAAUAUUUUUCUGCUUUAUAAAAUAAAAAUAUAAAAACAGGGAGUAAUAAUUAUUAAGGAGUCUCAACAUGAUAAAGGCUAGAUAUUUAUGCUAACACUUAAUCAGUUCCACAAGCUUUGUUGUCUAUUUGAGCUCCACAGAAUCUAAGAAUCAAGAAGACUGGCAGACGGAGGAUAUUCUAAUCGCUGUCACAAUGCUGCUGACUUUCAAAUACACCUCUGCCACCUGCUAGCUACAUCAAGAGAAAUUACGUCAAAAUUCAGCUUGGGAGAGAGCACCCCCAUUUAUCUCUAUAAGUAUUUCUAUCUAUCUAUCUUUAUACUUAUAUUAUUUUAGAAUAUAAAUAUACAUAACUAUGAAAAACCAAAUAAAGAUUUUAUGCUUAUAUAUAUAUAUGUCUUUUGCUUAGUGUGUUUAAUAAAUAAAUAAAGUGGCUAUGCUAAUCUGUAUCUAAAUAAAACUCAAGCAUGGAAAUGAUGAAUAGUUGCUCUGCCUAAUUUGCACAUUUUAAGUUCUCUCUCAAGUCUAGACAUAACUGUUAUAAUUUAAAGCUUGCUCUAGACCUAAACUUGUGGGAUGAAAACUUGAUCUGAAAUCUAAGUUGUUAACGGAUACGAUAUGGGAAGGUUGAGCUGCUGUUUAUCUGUUUCUAGAGAUGCUAGAAUUCUGGAGAAUUUUAUCUUUGGAAAUCUUUAAAAUGUUGCAUGAUGAGUUCCUGUAUGAUGAGAGUUUAAAUUCCUACCACAGCCUUAUAUACAUGCUUGCUAGACUUCGAGCCACACAUUUACUUUUUACUGCUUAUGAGCAUUGAGUGUGGUCAAGCUGUGUAGACCCUUAGGAGCUUGUCAUGUGGUUAAAUCAAGAUUCACUUGCACGUUCACUCACACAUGCUACUUCUACUCCGGAAGUACCAUCCACAUAUAUCCAUACAUUUCCAUCUUCAGAAUCACCCAAAAAUAUUCUACUCCUAAUCCGGCAGAGAAUAGCCAAAAAUAAUUUUGUUCUUCCUUGUGUAAUAAAUGUCUCAAGAUCAAUAAAGAGUAUUAUUAUUAUGUCUUGUGUGUCUCUACUUUAUUUUUGUGCAAGAAAGCAGAAAACAAGUAUGGCGGAGAUCCCUCGACAUGCUAAACACACUCCGACUACACCAAUCCACGAUUCAGGUACACACUCUGCACACUUUACUUUACACAUAUAUAUAUUGUAGAUUAUGCAGAAUAUUGUUCCCGACAUGAUAAAAUAAAAAGAUUAAAAUAUUUCUAAUCAUGAUUAAUCUCAAUCUGUGAUAUUUCCUGAAAACUUGCAAAUUAUUAUAAAAUCAUUUUAAACCCUGUGUUACUUAAGUCAAUAUGGAAUAUGUGAUGAUAGAGUAUGAGUUUCUUAUUCUUGAUAUCAUUGUUGCUUGGAGAAUUUAUUUCAAAAUAUUCAAAAUUCUAGCUACCAACCUCAGUGUUUUAUAUGCCUGAUAAAACUGAAAAUAUUAAUUAUAAAAGCUAUUUGCUCUGUAUUGAGUUUGUUCAAAAUGAGUUAGACCCUUGUUGAGAGAUUUAUCAUGCUCCUAAGAUCAAGACAUUAUUUCAGUAAGAUUCACUCUUCCGAAGUAUUAUUGCAUUAGAGGCAUGGGCUAUGCAAAAAUAGAAGAUAUUUCGAGGAAAUAAAAAGGAGCAAGUGCUCGACAACCGCGCAGAAAAAAUGGACAAGUGUCCGGAAGUAGAAUUAGGGGUACCUCGGUAUCCACUUAAAAAAAAGAUAAAAGAAAAAAAAAUGACAGCCCAUGGUCCCUCUAAUAAGCAAUAUGCCAGCAAGAGUUGACAAAGUUUUUAAUUUCCAAAGUCUUUGAUCUAAGAGUAUGACAUUUCCCUCCUCGGAUCCCGUUUUGAUCAGGCAAUAAAUCCAAAGUAAGUAUGCUUGAGAAUUUUUGCAAAAUAAAACAGCCUCAGUGAGAUAUGUAUAAAAGAUAAUGAGUGAUCUGAGAGAACCUAUGAGGAUCAAAAAGGUAUGCUAACUUUCUUUCAAAAAUAUACAAAAACUCCAAGUGACAGGAUUGAAAAGAAAGAAUCUUUACUCUUAACCAUAUACUUCCCUGACUACAAUACACAGUGGAAUUUUUAACACCCUGCAAUUAUAAAGAGAAUGUUUUAAAUGUUUACCCCAGAUAUUAUUCUUAACCAUCCUUUUCUCGAGGACGAGUAAAAGCCUAAGUAUGGGGGUAUUUGUUGACGGUUCUUAAGUAUCAAUUUUAAUUAUCAAAUAAACAUGAGAAAGGACCAAUAUGCAACCAUCACCUAGAAUUAGGGUUUGAUCUAAUAGAAUUCCACGAGUUUUGUUGUUUAUCUAUUUCUGCAGGGGGUUAUCAGGAAAUAAGGAAGAAAGGCCCACAUGUCGGGAUUACAUAGAGAUAUCAACGCACCGCGUAAUUUUACAUCAUCUAGAAGACUCCAGAAGCCACGAGACCGAAGCGGAAGCGAAGCUGGGCCAGGCCCAGGGCGCCCGCCCUGGUAGCCUGGGCGCCCGCCCCCUGUUGGAGCCAAUUCAGGACUCCUUCGCUCGGGAUAUUCCACCGACCUAUUGGAUCAAGAAAAACAUAGUACCACCUCGCCUAUUGACCCAAAAACGCAUAGAAGGGGAGGACUAUAUAAGCAAGGCCCCCCUGGCCCCUGGAAGACAUGAAGAAAUUAUCAUAGAGACUGAGGGGUGCCCUCGAAGGAAAACCUCUUCUCUAAUUAAUAUUUCUUUUUAGGCUUAGCAAUCAAUGUAAGGUAGAAAUAGAUCUUCUAGUUUCUACUAGAUUGAGAGAGAUAGAGUGGAGGUGUAGAGUGGAGGAAGCCCGGCCUGUCGGUGUCUACUCCAAGCUUGUACCUGCGGGAUCAAGUUCUCCUAACCCGAAGCUUGCUCCUAGGAUUCUUCAGUAAUUCGACUUCUAAAUUCUAGUAAGUUAUUGUUUUAUUGUUCUUAUGGUUUAUGAGUUUACUUUAAUCUCUUCGCGUAGAGUUUAGAGUAAUCAUUGCUGGCGUAAACAUGGUGUUUAGGCUGGGGUACUCAUAGAUAUUCCCUGACUAGCUAGACCGUGGUAGUAGUGAGGAACGUGACAUUUCCGAGCUACCUUUGUAGAUAACAUCUCGUUAGCAGGAAGGAUAGGGUUUAUAGGUGCGGGUUGAACAUCCUUUGUGGUGUCUAGAUUCCGUUAGCCUCCCCAUUAGAAUAGUAGAUCAUCCUUACCAAGGUUAGAAGGAGACUACGGUUGCAGUCUUCUCUAUUUAUCACUCACAUCGAAAGACAUUCUUUGUGCCUAAAGGGAUAGUAGCAAUAGAUUUGGUUAGUCAGAUGCACCCUUUCUCCCAGUGGUAAAAAUAUAAAUACGAUACUCUGGAAAACCUCCCGGGUGAAAUGCUCACCGAUAUCCGUGCGCUUGCGGAUCAUUUCCUUAUUGCGUUACCAAAUAUCAACAAGCAUUUGGAUCCUUUUCCAUGAUUAAUUGAUGGUUAAUUGUGAGCAUUAAGGACCGUCAACAACAACCAACACCCAAAAUUAGGGUUUCAUCUGACAUAAUUACACGAGUUUUGGUGUUUGUCUAUUUUUGUAGGGGGUUAUUAUGAAAUAUGGAGGAAAGGCCCACACGUCGGGUUUACAUAGAGAUAUUAAUGUGUGCGCCAAUUUUCUAUCAUCUAGAAGACUCCAGAAGCCAUGGGAACGAACGGGAGGCCGAGCGGGCCCGGGGGCUGGGCGCCCGCCCUCCACCCUUGGGCGCCCGCCCUGCCCUGGUGACCAAUCAGGGCAGGUCUCGCGGAUCGUGCUCCACUACCUUUGAGGAUCAAGGAAAACCGUGCGAUUAAGGUCGUUUUGAUCUGACGGCCCACGUUCAUUUGGAAGGGCAAUAUAAGCAGGCCCCCCUGGCCCCUGGAGAACAUAUCUCUUCUACAGAAUCAAAGCUAGGGUUUCAAUUAUUCAUCCAAGUAGAGAUGAUCCCUCUAGUUCAUCAAGUUCUAGUUCUAGUUCAUAUAGUUCUAGUUCUAGUUAGUUCUAGUUGUAAUCUAGAAAAUAGGGGGAGAGAAGAGGAGAGCGGAGGAGGAGCCAGAUCUGUUGGAUCUUCCUCAAUAUUGUACUUCUGCAGCAACUGGUUCGUUAUUCAUCGUUCUCCAAGUUCUUCAAUUCAUAAUUCCUGAGUUCUUUUAUUAUUUUUAUUUGCAUUCAAGUUUUUUAUUGGAUUCCCGCUUGCAUCAAGUGCUGUAGUCUUUAUAACGUUAGAGUAGUAAUUAAUAGAUUAGACAUGGUGUUUAGUCUUGCAAUUACCUGGAAUUGCACCUAAUCCUGCGAAUUGUUGUGGUAGCCGUAGAGUAGUGACAGCCCUAACGGUCGACGUAUUCCACCUCGUUCGGAUCGGUGUUUGUAGGACCAUAGUCAGAGCUUCCUAGCCCCCUUCUCAUCUCUUUCUGUGAUUAGUGUUCUGAUGUCCCAAAAUAAAUAAUCUUUGAAGUAAUUCUUGAUUCUUAGAUCAACUAGAGAACUCUCAGGAAACUUCCUCUCUUCCCACCAAAAAUAAUUAUAUAGUUAUCCUUGGGUGAUCUUGAUUCUUAAUUAAUACACUCACGUUCCCUGUGGAAAAUCGAUACUCUGGAAUACUCCCGUGUGAAAGCUACAUCAGUAUCCAUGCGCUUGCGGAUUUUUCUGUUUGCGUUUAAAAUAGCCAAUAGACAUGAUCUAGAGGUAAGUAUAUAUCAUGCUUUAAAUAUCGAUGCCUGCUCGUUUACUUUAUUAUGCUAGCUAUACCUAAUCAAUGACCGUCUUAUUGGGCAGGGCUUGGGCUGGGCUACAACAAAGAUAUCGUACAGAUAUGAAUGUGCCACUUCCCCCUCCUGUUCUACUCCCUUGGGUGCCCACGCAGCCGUUUAGAACGAAUCUAUGUGGAUACUACGUUUGUGAAUUUAUGUGGUGCACCCUAUUUAAACCUGCUCAAAGUGUUCUAAAAGUAAGUAACAUGCAUGUGUAUACAGUAAAUUCAUAUCUUAUUUAUUUGUUGGAACUAAAUAGAUUUUAUGUAUAUUAAUAUCUUUUUUAACUAAUGCAAAUGGAAGGAGUGGAAUAUGAAAGGUAAAGUGUUUGAGUACACAUUACUCCUUAUAGUCCAGGACGAUCGCCGAAUUUAUCAACGAUCAUGUCAUUGUGGAAGACGACGAGUUCCACUUAUACCCAUAGGGCUUCAAGCCCAUUCCAAACAAGGACGAACACUUGUAUGAGCUUUGAGUGGGCGGGCAAACAUUAUGUAAUCAUUAACCGGCGACAGCACACUUGAUUAUUACUUGUACAUAAUAUUAUUAUUGUAAAUGUAAUGUGUUUGUACGUAUGUGUAUAGCUAUAUAAUAUAUAUAUAUAUAUUACGGAUAAUAUAUAUGUGUAGUUUCAUACUUUAUUUGUGUGCAAUAAUGACGCUCUCGUAUAGGUGCAACGUAUAUGGAUAAUAGUAGCGUAUAUGAAUAAAUUGGUGAACAUAUACAAUUGAAAACCAAAAUCAAUAAUGAAAUGAAAAUGAAAAAGAAUAAGAAAAAGGAAAAAACCCUUUAAUCCUGGUUGGUAAUACCAACCGGGACUAAAAGGGGUGGCGCCACGUCACUGCCUGGCACCCCCUCUAGUCCCGGUUGGUGUUACCAACCGGGACUAAAAGUCCCCCUUUAGUCCCGGGCCGGCGAGCCGGUACUAAAGGUGGGACUUUUGGUCCCGACCCCUUAGUCCCGUCUCGCCACCCGGGACUAAAGGUGGUUUUCGACCGAGACAAAAGGUCGGUCCUGUACCAGUGCUCGCUACUAUUGGAACCGAAAGCAGCUUGGUGACGGGACCCUGGUGGGGAUCGAGGCAGUGAUUCCUACCAGUGGAGGUGACCCCGCCUAGGGUGGCUGGGUGUACGAGUCCUGAGGCAGCACACCUUUCUAGGGUGCCAGCAGGGCUGCUUAUGCAGUUCUAAGGGAUAUCAUGGAGCGGUUUCCGCAAGAGCUAGCCCACGUCUUCGCUGGGGUGUUUCCCUGGGGUGACCCCUACACUUUGGUGUGGGAUCAGUCCGAGGUGAAUGCUCUAGAGUGGAGUGCGGAUGAGGAUCAGCACGGUGACAGUACAACUAUGAGUGCUAUGUUUGCCAUGAUGAAGACCUAUGGGGGUCUAGAGCGCUGUUUGGGACGCUUGUCUGGGUCUCUACUGACAAUUCAGGAUGAGAAGCGCCAGCUGUGGCAUGAGUUUGAUAGUGAGGUUGAGAGGCUAUAGGCAGAGUUGGCCCCUGUGACUCUAGAGAGGGACCAGGUAGUCCAGCAGAAUAGUGUGUUGAGUCAGGAUCUGCUAGCAGUGAGAGAGCAGAGGGGCAGGGUGACCAUAGCUCAUAGGAACAGCAAGCGCAUGCUAGUUCAUGUGCUUGGUUAGACGAAUGAAGCCUGGCAUGAGGAGGACACCCUGAGGGCCCAACAGCUGGAGCUUGAGCAGCAGCUAGCUAAUGCUGAGGAGUACAAUGAGAACCUGCAUGAGGAGAUCCACCAGCUGCAUAACCAGCUCCACCCUCACCACCUACCUGGAGCAGCUGAGUUAGACUUUGAGGAUGAGAUGGAUGAGGAUCCAGAGAUGGAGGCAGCCGCUAGUGGAGAUGAGGACGAGGAUGGAUCCAGCAUGGACAGCGACCAUAGCGAGUAGAUGCUAGGGCUCUAGAGCUAGUCCUUCUUCUUUUGCUGUUGUUGUUGCAUGGCAUGUGUUUGUAAUCUAUUGGAUCUGGGAUGUGUAAGACUUUAUGUGUUGAGUUGUGUUGACACUGAAAGUCCACUGUAUGUAUGCUGGCAAUUUUGGAUGUAUGCGAACCCUGUUGGCUAAAUGUUAAGUAAUCAGUUAGUGAUGUUGUGUGUGGAUGAUGAAUUAUUGUGCCUCUGUUUAUUGUGUGGAUUUAUUCUCAUCAGUAAAUUCAGUGUGGCAUGAUUUUGCAUAUGUCUACCGGUUGAUGGCAACUCCUAAUGACUGCUUAUUGUUGACGCAUGCAGAUGGUGCAAACGCGUGGCGGGGGUAACCGCAACCCUGGUGCUGGAGAAGGUUCCUCCGAAGGUGGGGCUCGCAUAAAUGAGGAAAGAGCACCAUCACCGCCACCACCACCGCCUCCUCCGUACACUGCGAUUUGUUUUUCACGCAGUUUCUAGGGAGCCAAUGAAACAUGGAGCAAAUGCAGCGAAACAUGGAAGCUGCCCUACGCAACAUCACUGACAACACCUGCCGUGGGGAUAACCAGGGAGGUCACGAAGUGAACCAGUAUAACUCUUUCAAGGACUUUAUGGACACAAAACCACCGGUCUUUAAAGAGGCCAUGGAACCGCUUGAGGCGGAUGACUGGAUUAACACCAUAGAGCAGAAGUUCCGUCUCCUUUAGCUGACCAAAGAGCUCAAGGUAGAGUACGCAGCGCAUCACUUGCACGGACCUGCUAGGAUAUGGUGGUCCCAUCAUCGUACCACCUAUCCAGAGGGGACCCCGAUCACCUGGAACCGCUUCACCACCACUUUUUGGGGAAAUUAUAUUCCUCUGAGUGUGGUGGAUUUGAAGAUUGGAGAAUUCAUGAAGCUGUCUCAAGGAACCAAGUCUAUGAAAGAGUAUCUACACGCUUUCAACAAUCUUGCUCGAUACGCUCUAGAGUUUGUUAACAAAGACGCCAAGAAGAUUGCUAGCUUCCAGAGAGGCUUGAGCCCAAAGAUGCUGAAGACUACGGGUAUAGGGACCCGAGCUACUUUUAGUGCCUACAUCAGCGACUGUCUUACCCAAGAGAACAAUAACAAUAACUAUAGUGCAUCCAAGUCACGUAAGAGGGCUUUUGAAGCUGGAUCGUCUCAGUCUAGGGCACCAGUGGCAGGACGUCAGCAGAAUCGUCGUCCUGCCCAAGGUGCUAGGUUCCGACCUCCAUAGAAAAUAAAUACAGGACAUCCCACUCAGGAGAAGCCGUACAAGGUAGCAGUGACCCCAGCAAAGCCAUGGGCGAAUCAAGCUGCAGCACCAAGUGCCAACACCAUGACCAAGGCACCGUGCUACAACUGCCACAAGAUGUGGCACUUUGCUAAAGAAUGUCCCUACCCCAAGAAGCAGCAGACAACCUAUCCAGCCCGUCUACACUACACCUCGAUAGAGGAGAUCCCAGAAGGAGAACCGGUUACAUCUGGUAUGUUCCCUAUCAACCAACAUCUUGCAAUUGUUUUGUUUGAUUCUGGAUGAUCGCAUUCAUUUAUGAGUCAAGCAUUUGCACAAAAGCAUGAUCAACUAGUUACCGAGUUGGGUUGUGGUUAUCGCAUCAGUUUACCUGGGGCUAAUGUGUUGACCAACAAAGUAGUAACAUGGGCUACCUUGCAUAUCAGUGGCCGAAUGUUUCGCGUAAACCUUGUAGUCAUGCUAGGGUUAGUUUUGGACGUUAUCAUUGGUAUGAAUAAGAUGACAGACUGGGGUGCAAUCAUAGAUGUAGGUCAGAGGACUCUCUCCCUUAAGGAUCCAUAGGGGGCGUGUUGGGUAUUUUAAACGCAAACAGAAAAAUCCGCAAGCGCACGGAUACCGAUGUAGCCUUCACCCGGGAGUAUUCCAGAGUAUCGAUUUUCCACAGGGAAUGUGAGUGUACUAAUUAAGAAUCAAGAUCGCCCAAGGAUAACUAUAUGAUUAUUUUUUUUGUGGGAAGAGAGGAAGUUUCCUGAGAGUUCCCUAGUUGAUCUAAGAAUCAAGAUUUACUUCAAGAUUAUCUAUAUCGGGACAUCAGAACACUAACCACAGAAAGAGAUGAGAAGGGGGCUAGGAAGCUCCGACUACGGUCCUACAAACACCGAUCCGAAUGUGGUGGAAUACGUCGACCGUUAGGGCUGUCACUACCCUAAGGCUACCACAACAAUCCGCAGGCUUGGGUGCAAUUCCAGGUAAUCGCAAGACUAAACACCACGUCUAAUCUAUUAAUUACUACUCUAGCGUUAUAAAGACUAGAGCACUUGAUGCAAGCGGGAAUCCAAUAAAUAACUUGAAUGUAAAUAAAAGUAAUUAAGGAACUCAGGAAUUAUGAAUUGAAGAACCUGGAGAACAAUGAAGAACGAACCAGAUGCUGCAAAAGUAUAAUAUUGAGGAAAAUCCGACAGACCCGACUCCUCCUCCACUCUCCUCUUCUCUCUCCCUAUUUUCUAGAUUACAACUAGAACUAACUAGAACUAGAACUAGAGGAACUAGAACUAGAACUAGAUGAACUAGAACUAGAUCUAGAUGAACUAGAGGUAGAACUAGAAGAACUAGAGGGAUCCUCUCUACUUGGAUGAAGAAUUGAAACCCUAGCUUUGAUUCUGUAGAAGAGGUAUGAUCUCCAGGGGCCAGGGGGUCUGGUUUUAUAGUCCCUUCAAGUGAAUCUGGGUCGUCGGAUCAAACCGACAUUGAUCGUGUGGUUCUCCUUGAUCCUUUAGGUCGGUGGAGCAUAAUCCGCGAAACGUGUCCUGAUUGGGCACUGUAGCUGGGCGGGCGCCCAGGAGAGUUGGGUGGGCGCCCUGCCUCCGAGCCCGAUUUCCUUCCCGUUCGUUCCCGUGGCUUCUGGAGUCUUCUAGAUGAUAGAAAAUUGCGCGACAUGUUAAUAUCUCUAUGUAAACCCGACGUGUGGGCCUUUCUUCCGUAUUUUCUGAUAACCCCCUGCAGAAAUAGACAAACACCAAAACUCAUGGAAUUCUGUCAGAUAAAACCCUAAGUCUAGGUGUUGGUUGCAUUUGGAUCCUUUUCCAUGAUUAGUUGAUGCUUAAAUGUGAGCAUUAAGGACCGUCAACAAGCUCCCCCAAGCUUAACCUUUGCUCGUCCCUGAGCAAAGAUGAACUCAAGAGUUUCUGCAGUGGUUUCAUGCCUUAAAGGUAAAUGCGUUCAAUCAAGAUCUCAUCUCUAGGUUAGGGUAAACUGUUAAGAUUUAAACUUACUCAUUUUACCUUCCACCAUGGGGCUUGCAACCGUCACUUGUGCCUUGAGCAGUUAAAAGAUAGAACGGUCUAGUCAAGCGCCAUGUCUCUUGUUCUUGAUCAACUAUAGCUCUGGAGUUUUUGCAGAUUUUCAAAUAAAAAUCAAAGAUUCCUUGUAUGACUCUCUCUAGUCUCUCUUUUGUGGUAUUUCUGGAUCCUUACCAAGGCAGUGAUGGUGUAUGCCUUCUCUCAAAGUAUGUGGUAUUUUUGGUAUGAGGCAUAGUGGCAUUGCCUUCUCUCUCACCCUACUCUAAUAAGGUUUUGAUAUCUGGAGCUCAUAGGUGGGAGACAGCUAAUACAUACUUACAAGACAUUUAUUGCAUAGUCAAACCAUGGAUCCAGAAGAACAAGUCAAUAAGUCAAAUCAAGAUGUGCAUGUGUGGCGAAUGAAUGGUGUAUGAUGAUGAUGGUGAUAACAAUGGUGAAAAUCUAAUCCUACUUGUGCUCUUUUGAGUGGAUACAUGCCUUUCUUGCUCUUUUGAAACUUUUUGAGGAGAAUGAGAUGCUCUAUAUUUUCUUUUUAUUUUCUCUCAGGUGGGUAUCUUGUACCCCUAAUUCUACUGUCGGACACUUUUCCAUUUUUACCUCUCGUCUCACUUUUUUUUUUCUUUCGAGGUUCCGGGCACUUGCCCCUUUUUAUUUCCUCGUAUUUAUUUUUUUCUCUCUCCUUUUUAGAGCACUCAUCUCCUGAAAUAAUAUAGCAAGUGGUAGUAACCAAGAUAACUUGAGCAUUUAUUUCAAAGGGGAAAACAUAAAUGUUUUUGGCUAUUCUCUCCCGGAUUAGGAGUAGAAUAUUUUUAGGUGAUUUUGGAGAUGAAAAUGGGUGGAUAUAUGUGGAUGCGUACUUCCGAAGUAGAAGUAGCAUGUAUGAGUGAACGUGCAAGUGAAUCUUGAUUUAACCACAUGACAAGCUCCUAAGGGUCUACACAGCUUGACCACACUCAAUGCUCAUAAGUAGUAGAAAGUAAAUGUGUGGCUCAUAGUCUAGCAAGCAUGUAUAUAUGGCUGUGGUAGGAUUUUAAACUCUCAUCAUACAGGAACUCAUCAUGCAACAUUUUAAAGAUUUUUAAAGAUAAAAUUCUCCAGAAUUCUAGCAUCUCUAGGAACAGAUAAACAGCAGCUCAACCUUACCAUAUCAUAUCCGUUAACGACUUAGACUUUAGAUCAAGUACUCUUCUCACAAUUUCAGGUUUAGAGCAAAUCUUAAUUAAUAACAGUCAUGCCUAAACAUGAGAGAGAUUUCAAUUUUAAGGACUAGUCAUGGUAGAGCAACUAUUCAUCAUUUCCAUUUGAGAGCUUAUCAUGAGGGUUCAUGGCAAACUUUAUUUAUUUAUUUAUUUAGCAAACUAAGCAAAGAUAUAUAUAUAAGCACAAAAUCUUUAUUUGGGUUUAUAUGAUUAUGCAUCUUUUUAUUAUUAGAGUAAAGUAUAAACGUGAGUAGAAUACUUAGCUGGAUAAAUGGGGGUGCUCUCCCCCAAGCUGGAUUUUGACGUAAUUUCUUCUCAUGUAGCUAGCAGGUGGCUGAGGUGUAUUUGAAUGUCGGUAGCACCCUGACAGCGAUUAGGAUGUCCUCCGUCUGCUAGUCUUCUUUGAUCCUUGAAUUCUGUGGAGCUCAAAUAGACAACAAAGCUUUGUGGAACUAGUUAAGUGUUAGCAUAAAUAUCUAGCCUUUAUCAUGUUGAGCCUCCUCAAUAAAUGUUACUCUCUUUAGUAGGAUUACAAUCUUAUUUAUAUUUUCAUUUUUAUAGGAUAGGAAUAUAUAUUUAUUUUUACGCCACCACAGUGAAUGUACUUAUGGGUUUUAUGGCAUGAGCAUCUCACAUGGGGCUUACUAUUUUUAUUUUUAUUUUCUUUUCAAGAUGAUAUGAACCUGAUUAACUAAAAUAAUUGAAAGGAAAAAGAUAACUACCAAGUUUACCUCUUGGCAAGGCGUUCGGUGUUUUUAAGUCCUCCGAACGGGACUCUCUAUUUUCUCAGUUGUCCAAGAAUUCGCUGGAUGGCGUAGUCGGUGGUUCCGGCGGCGCGUACUCUUCAUGUAUAACUAUCUUCUUUCUCCACACCUACCUUGGUGCACUUCUCCUUCGUACUCUGCCCAUCCGUCCUUUAUGAUUUUCCUCCUCUGGUUACGGUUGCGUCGUCUUCUUCUUGUCCUGACCUGCUUAGAGUCUUCAACUAUAUAGUUAGGGUCAGUAAAAUAGCGGCGUACCUUCUCAGAGGGGAAAUGCAUGUGGACUUCUCCAGUUCCAAUGUAGAUGAUCGCUUUAACGGUACUGAGGAACGGUCUUCCAAUGGUGAUGGGUGGACUGUACUCGUCUUCUCCCAUGUCAAUAACCUUAAAAUCAUCUAGAGGUGAAUGUAUGUUGGUUGUAGGGGCAUGGUUCCAUGCAGGAGCUCAUAAGUGACUGCGGCCAUUAUGUUGACGUUAGAUCCGGUGUCGUAGUGUCUUCUGAAAAGAAUAUCCGUUGAUUGUGCAUCGAUGCUUGGAACACCAGGGUCGUCCUUCUUGAUCAAGAAAGGUGACUUGAGUUGACGAUCUUAACCUCCUUGAGCUGCAGUGACCAUCUUAGCUGACUCGGUACACAUUUGCUUGUUCCUGUUCCUCCUAUUGGUCCUUCCUUGGUUCAUGUCAGGAUUGCUCUA